Cryptomeria japonica (Japanese cedar) is the source of this 73-nucleotide non-coding RNA. NCBI's taxonomy places the organism in Eukaryota, Viridiplantae, Streptophyta, Pinopsida, Cupressales, Cupressaceae. The record is from the annotation of a RefSeq genome assembly.
GGAGCCUAUAGCUCAGUGGUAGAGCAUUCGACUGCAGAUCGAGAGGUCGCCGGAUCCAGCCCGGUUGGGUCCU